RNAcentral lists this ribosomal RNA (468 nucleotides) under uncultured bacterium. RNAcentral's name for it is "partial 16S ribosomal RNA". It matches the Rfam family "Bacterial small subunit ribosomal RNA", at positions 28 to 507 of the family's 1533-position model. The record is from RNAcentral.
GACGAACGCUGGCGGCGUGCUUAACACAUGCAAGUCGAACGGAAAGGCCCUGCUUUUGUGGGUUGCUCGAGUGGCGAACGGGUGAGUAACACGUGAGUAACCUGCCCUUGACUUUGGGAUAACUUCAGGAAACUGGGGCUAAUACCGGAUAUGAUCUCCUGCUGCAUGGUGGGGGUUGGAAAGUUUCGGCGGUUGGGGAUGGACUCGCGGCUUAUCAGCUUGUUGGUGGGGUAGUGGCUUACCAAGGCUUUGACGGGUAGCCGGCCUGAGAGGGUUACCGGCCACAUUGGGACUGAGAUACGGCCCAGAAUCCUACGGGAGGCAGCAGUGGGGAAUAUUGCACAAUGGGCGGAAGCCUGAGGCAGCAACGCCGCGUGCGGGAUGACGGCCUUCGGGUUGUAAACCGCUUUCGCCUGUGACGAAGCGUGAGUGACGGUAAUGGGUAAAGAAGCAACGGCUAACUACGUG